This 112-nucleotide transfer RNA is filed under the name Rhizobium leguminosarum bv. viciae. RNAcentral describes it as "tRNA-Ser". The record is from RNAcentral. Lineage: Bacteria; Pseudomonadati; Pseudomonadota; Alphaproteobacteria; Hyphomicrobiales; Rhizobiaceae.
GCAAAAUCAAGGAAAUAUGCGUGUACUCGCAUUUCGUCGCACGUUCUCGCACAUGCCUUUUCCUAGACUACGAAUCUGGGGGUCAGGAGUUCGAAUCUCUUCGGGUGCGCCA